UACGGAGGGUGCGAGCGUUGUUCGGAAUCACUGGGCGUAAAGCGCGUGUAGGCGGCCUUGUAAGUCUGGUGUGAAAGCCCGGGGCUUACCCCCGGAAGUGCACUGGAAACUGUGAGGCUUGAGUACCGGAGAGGAGGGUGGAAUUCCUGGUGUAGCGGUGAAAUGCGUAGAUAUCAGGAGGAACACCGGUGGCGAAGGCGGCCCUCUGGACGGAUACUGACGCUGAGACGCGAAAGCGUGGGGAGCAAAC
RNAcentral lists this ribosomal RNA (250 nucleotides) under uncultured bacterium. Its description in RNAcentral is "partial 16S ribosomal RNA". It matches the Rfam family "Bacterial small subunit ribosomal RNA", at positions 524 to 773 of the family's 1533-position model. The record is from RNAcentral.